RNAcentral lists this ribosomal RNA (567 nucleotides) under uncultured eukaryote. Its description in RNAcentral is "partial 18S ribosomal RNA". The record is from RNAcentral.
ACCAGACUUGCCCUCCAAUUGUUCCUUGUUAAGGGAUUUAAAUUGUACUCAUUCCAAUUACGAGCCUUUUUCAAGGCCCGUAUUGUUAUUUAUUGUCACUACCUCCUCGUAUCGAGAUUGGGUAAUUUGCGCGCCUGCUGCCUUCCUUGGAAGUGGUAGCCAUCUCUCAGGCUCCCUCUCCGGAAUCGAACCCUAAUUCCCCGUCACCCGUUACGACCAUUGUAGUCCACUACACUACAAUCGAAAGUUGAUAGGGCAGAAAUUUGAAUGAAUCAUCGCCGGCGCGGGGCCAUGCGAUUCGCGCAGUUAUCAUGAAUCACCAGGGGUCCAGGGUGUUGCCACCCUGCGUUGGUUUUUUAUCUAAUAAAUACGUCCCUUCCGAAGAGUCGGGAUUUUUAGCAUGUAUUAGCUCUAGAAUUACUACGGUUAUCCAAGUAGUAGGUACUAUCAAAUAAACUAUAACUGAUAUAAUGAGCCAUUCGCAGUUUCGCCGUAUAAGUGCUUAUACUUAGACAUGCAUGGCUUAAUCUUUAAGACAAGCAUAUGACUACUGGCAGGAUCAACCAG